UCAAAGUCUUUUCGACGCUUAAGGUAAUGGUAGCAAUUGGAGAAAGUACUUUGACUUGAGAGUGGAUGUGAUUGUUGGAGGGAGAAAGAUGGACCAAAGCAUGUGUUUUGUAAAACGAUUCUUGUGUUGUUACAUCAUUGCGAAUCUAGUUUGAGAUGUCUGAUUCGGUUCACUAAACAACUUAGCAUCACCUAGCAUAGUUCAUCUUUCACCGUAAGCACUUAACACCAAUUCUAAAAUAUGUAAACAAGUUGUUGUUGUAAGCUAGGCAUAUUCCACAAUUCAACAACAUAUGCCAGGAACUGGUAAUUUAAUCUGCAAUGAUAAUACUCCUACCCUUUAUAAAACCACAAGGAUGGUGGGUGACGAUAAUUUUAAAAACUAUUUUGAAACGAAGUUUUGAGUAAUCAAUCAAUGUAUUUUGUCCCCAUUAGAGUAUGGUACGGUAUGGUAUAUGCCCACACUAUUAUUAUUCAAACAAAAUUACCGGUUUCUGUGAAUAUUUUCACACCUGACGACCUGUGAUGGCUUGUAAAUAGUGAAUGUGUGGAACUACAUGUGAAUGAGUAUUUCAUAGUGUUCUUGUCUGCUUGUUGUGAUAAUAUAGUCCCGUCCAAUUGUAUACGGAUAUUUUUGUGAAAGGGUUAUAUGUAUACGCUUAAAAUUGCAUGGGAAAGAGUUUAGUAAUACAGAGCUUCAAUAUCCUAUACCUUAUUUCAUGUUGUUUAGACAUUUAUUCACAAGCACAUAGGCCUACAUAUAGGAGCUUACGAUUACUACAAAUAUUUAAAAGUUAAUGUCAUUCCUUGGCUUGUAAGUACAUUUUUAAGAAUCAUGACAAACAACACUCUUUAAGAUACAUUUUUUCUGUUUUAUUGUUAUAUUCAUGGAAUAAAAAUCCCCAUCCUGUGUUUUAUUUGGGAUAUCUAUUCCCAUUCAUGCUCAAAUAGGAUAUUUACUGCCCAACUAUCUAUUUUGUAUUGCUUGUAGGAGUUAUGAAAUUGAUCACUGUUCGUUAUCUUCACUUUGCAUAUUCAUUAUGGCACAUUUCCUCCUAUAGGACAUUGUAUCCCAUAUUAAGUUUAAAUUUGGGAGUUAAAAUCCUAUAGGAGAAAUCAUAUUUUUUCUCCGAUGGGAUUUUUGGCGGGAGUGAAAAUCCCCCCAAGUAGGAGUGAAAAUCCCACCAAAAUCCCAUGGAAUUUUUUUAAUUUCAGGUGAAAUAUCUUAAAACUACAAUAGUUACAAGUGUAAAAUGUUGGUGCGUGUCUUGUGAACAUAAAAUCCAAGCUUUAUUGUAAAGGGUGUAUUUGUAUCCUUAAUGAAAUGGUUGGCGAAACUCUGGACUUCUGUCGUGUCCAGACUUAAAUGUCGCACUCUUGGAUGUUUAUUUAAUUGCUGGGAUAAGAUUUAGAAAUUCAUUUCAAAAUUAAGGAUUAUCUCCCUCAUGCAUAGCUUUUAUCCUUGGACGAAUUUGGCUCCAGAUUUUUUUUUUUUUUUUUUUUUUGGUACUCUAGUUUUCCUUUUAGUUCUUACAAGUUUAUUGUUAUUUCGAAUUUUCAAAAUUUCGGCUUGCGUAUCACUGAAGAGACAUUAUUUAUCGAAAUGCGCAUCUGGUACAUCAAAAUUGGUACCGUAUAACUUUUACAUUAGGAUACCAAAUGUCUCGUGUAUUUAAAAAUGAUUCAUAUUGCAUAAGCAGUAUUUAUUACGUUAGUUUAGAAUGAAAUUUACAUGCCGUCUAAAGUUGAUUAUCAUAUAGAUAAACAAAAUAGCAUACGGCAGCUGGUUUUGAUUUAUUUGUGUGUUUCUUAAAUUUCCACUAGACAGACCUGCUUGAGAAAUAAAUUUUGCAGUAGAAAAAGCUGUGAUUGGAAAUGAUUCAAGAACAACACUGGAUUCCUACCCCAACCUCCAAACAAAUUAGAAUUAAAAUUAAAUUAUGGGCCCCUAGUGUAAAACUUAUACGAUACCAAUUUUGAUGCACCAGAUGUGCAUUUCGACAAAUAAUGUAUCUUCAGUGAUGCUCAAUGUGUCAUAAUAUCCUCUUCCCCAGAUAAGAAUAUUCAUCUGGACAUGAUAAGGCCGUUUAUAUAAUUAAGUCUGGGAUGGCUGAAUUAAAGAUAUAUUGCACAUAGCAGUGGCGGAUCUACACGGAGUAAUGAAAAGGAGCCGGUUGUCCCGAAGCCCUUAGUGGGUCCAGUGCUAACUUCCCGCCCACUGCAACUACUGAUUUCUAACAAAAUAAGACAUACAUGUUUUAAAGUGAUUUGACAUAUUUCUGUAAAAAAAAAAAAAAAGGAUGAUAAUUUCUUAUGCUAUCAAUAGAAGUUGAUAGUUAGUACAGAAAUAAAAAGAAUUUCACCCCAAAGUAACCAGGUUUGUUUGCAGUUUUACAGUGGGCAACUAAUGGUGUCUCUAGAGAUCUAGAAGACAAAGAACACAAUACAAACGGAGCAUUUAAAUUCGUCUCUACACAUGAUCAUAGAUAAACUGGGCUAUUUUGUGUAUUGUAAGUUACAUCUCAUGCACUGAUUAAUGGUUGUAUUCCUUUUGAUUGAUUAUUAAACAUAUUUAAGCAACAUACAUCACUAUAUUCCACUUGACACACGUUGGGUUAAAUGUUUAAAAUGAUAUAUUCAUAUAACGUUAGGUACGUGUAAGUUCAAGUGGAUCUUGAACGGUAUAAAAAUACGCAAUAUGGGGAUUACUUUCGGUAUGGACGUUGAAAAAUGACAGAUAUUUGAUGAUAUCUUCAAAAAUUGCGAGGUAGGAAAGUUGAUUAUCAAGUUAUGUAAACAUAUGUUGGGUGCCGGAAAAAGUACUAAUAGUAUGUUUGCAAUACCCAUCCCUUCAAUAAUUUGACCCUCCCCCCAAAAUAAAAUAAAUAAAAGAGGACAUCUAGUUUUAGCCGAUCCUGUACCAAGUGAAAAAUGACGUACGCCAUAUAUCACGUGACGAUAAUAACAGUGGACGUCUACCGCAAGUUUCAUACCAAUAUACUGUAAAAUUCUAGAUUUUUGUUACAUUUUAUAUUUAAAAUAUGAAGACCUGCUCUGUGUAUGAUUACAAACAUUUCAGCGAAAUUGAUGACGUAGUCAACACCCGGAAACGAGAACGCGCACAUCAAUUCUGCAGAAAUACAUGUACAGUUUGAAAACCCGUAUCAGCACAGAGAUAUCUUAGGUGAUCUGUUAUGAAUAGCAGUGCUGUAUACUUGUUGAUUACAACGCCGGUAGGUAGUACUGAAUAUAUGUGAAUUAAGGAAUGUACGAGAAGAUCAGCAAUUGGGAAUUAUCUUCGCAUAUAUAGUAAGACGUCAUUCCUAACCCUUCAAAUAUUGCUUACAAUCAAGUUGAUUUAAUUUUGCUGAUACAAUUUUUGAUUUUCUGUCUGCAAAAUCCCGGUGCUAGUAUACCCGUGUACAUACAGUUACACCUACAGACACACAGAAGCGCUACCACUACAAUAGCUGGCUCUAUGGAAUAACUGUACCUGGCGCUAAGAAUGGACUAGUACAACAUCAAAUGCAAACAACUAUGGUGUGAGGAAUAUCAUCAUCAAUCUAAUUGGACUUUGACUGACUGUUGGGAGUGGUUGGGCAAUGACACACCUACUUCCGCAGAUGACGUAGUUCUUAUGCAUAUAAUAAACGAUUGUGUGAGUCGUAUAGUAUGCGACUUCAACUGCUAUCCGAGAGGCCACUGAUAUCGCAUUCAGAAUGGUAUUACUGUCCCUUAUCCUCGCCUACUCUCUUGUAUUCGCCGCCUUCGCAUUUGAAGACAAUACUUUCUACCGUCGAGGGGAAGUGGGUAGGAGGAUCAUCGAUGGUGAAAUUUUUGAUGCGUCAACUGAACAUGCUCAAAAUACCGACAAUGGAGAUAUGCAAGGCAGGGAUAGAAAAUCUGUCAUCGAAUAUCCAAUGGAAGGAAUGUAUUAUGUUCUAUAGGCUUACAAAUGGACACACCUUGCUGAUCUGAGGAAUUGCAGCGAAAAAUGAAUAAUUUGCAUGUUUAGUUUUUGCUAAAAUUUGAUUAAACUUUAUUCAUUAUUUUGAUCAAUUUGUAAUUUAAUAGCAAUGCCGGUAUAGACGUGAUAAAUGCAUGUCAAAUAUGUGUGUUACAUAGUAAUGAAGAAGAACAGGAAGUUUUGAAUAAAAAACGUAAAGAGGUUUA
This is a long non-coding RNA of Ostrea edulis (European flat oyster), 4172 nucleotides long. RefSeq lists it as uncharacterized. The transcript is spliced from 3 exons. The record is from RefSeq and is a predicted model, not a curated record. NCBI's taxonomy places the organism in Eukaryota, Metazoa, Mollusca, Bivalvia, Ostreida, Ostreidae.